GGAGCUAAUCCCUUAAAGCUACUCUCAGUUCGGAUUGUAGGCUGAAACUCGCCUACAUGAAGCUGGAGGUACUAGUAAUCGCAGAUCAGCAUGCUGCGGUGAAUGCGUUCCCGGGUCUUGUACACACCGCCCGUCACACCCCGGGAGUUGGAGGCGCCCGAAGCCGACUAUCUAACCUUUAGGAAGCAGUCGUCGACGGAGGAAUUAAGAACUGGGGUGAAGUCGUAACAAGGUAGCCGUAUCGGAAGGUGCGGCUGGAUCACCUCCU
This 268-nucleotide ribosomal RNA is filed under the name Clostridioides difficile. RNAcentral describes it as "partial 16S ribosomal RNA". It matches the Rfam family "Bacterial small subunit ribosomal RNA", at positions 1264 to 1531 of the family's 1533-position model. The record is from RNAcentral. Lineage: Bacteria; Bacillati; Bacillota; Clostridia; Peptostreptococcales; Peptostreptococcaceae.